UGGGGAAUAUUGCACAAUGGGCGCAAGCCUGAUGCAGCCAUGCCGCGUGUGUGAAGAAGGCCUUCGGGUUGUAAAGCACUUUCAGCGAGGAGGAAGGUGGUGGACUUAAUACGUUCAUCAAUUGACGUUACUCGCAGAAGAAGCACCGGCUAACUCCGUGCCAGCAGCCGCGGUAAUACGGAGGGUGCAAGCGUUAAUCGGAAUUACUGGGCGUAAAGCGCACGCAGGCGGUUUGUUAAGUCAGAUGUGAAAUCCCCGGGCUCAACCUGGGAACUGCAUUUGAAACUGGCAAGCUAGAGUCUCGUAGAGGGGGGUAGAAUUCCAGGUGUAGCGGUGAAAUGCGUAGAGAUCUGGAGGAAUACCGGUGGCGAAGGCGGCCCCCUGGANGAAGACUGACGCUCAGGUGCGAAAGCGUGGGGAGCAAACA
RNAcentral lists this ribosomal RNA (427 nucleotides) under uncultured bacterium. RNAcentral describes it as "partial 16S ribosomal RNA". It matches the Rfam family "Bacterial small subunit ribosomal RNA", at positions 355 to 774 of the family's 1533-position model. The record is from RNAcentral.